UCUGGUAUUUUAUUCUGGAAUGAGAGGAUGGAAAUCCAAAGCAGAACCUCAAGGUAUGUGUUCUUCAGAAAUAGUAAGUGGGAUAUUCUUAUUCUUUUUCUUUUAUGGUUAAAUAUUCAUAUGAUGUUACUUGCAGACAUUUGAUGCCUCAUUUAGAUUUGGAUAAGCAAGUUGUUGAUAUACUUUCUUGGUGUUUGCUUUCAAAUUGUUAACGAUAAGCCCACUAGCUCUGCCUAACAAUGAUAAAAAGUAGUCACUAGAAGAAAGAAAUGAACACACAGUUUAUGACCACCACAAACUCUACAACUUGAUCUCGGACAGAGCACUAUCAUCAAAAAGGUGAGGAUAUCAUCCGAUUAGGGCCCAAAAUUUGUUCCAAAUCUAUUAUGAUACUACGGUAGGUUCCCUGUUUUUUUUUUUUUUUUGUGUGUGGUUCUGCUGCUGCUGAAAUAAAGAGAAUUUUUUCUCGUAAUAUAAUAUCCUUCUCGUUAUUUUCUGUCUGUUUAAUGAGGUCAGAUGGUCAUUUGUCCACGAAAAGACUGAUUUUGUCUGUCCUCGAGAAGACUACUCUUCUACGUCUUUUAUUUCAUGGAUUUGAUCACCACCUCGUAUUUAUCUUUAUUUUAUUUUCACGUAAUGAUAUGAGAAAAAAAAAAUUUAGAAAACAGGCUUACUAAGUGCAAUGAUGAUUAAAUAAAUCGUAUAGUAAGUCCUAAAUAUAAUCAUCCAUAAUUGUAUUUUUUUUUCUUUUUUCUUUUGUCACAAUUCUGAGGUAGAAUAAUUUUCAUAUCUCGAGCACUUUCAUUUUUCUUUUGUCUCCGCCUUUCUAUAUUGUUUGUUAGUUCUCAUCCUCUACUCUCAUCAAUGGAUUCUUUCUUGUCUUCUCUCUGUCACAGUAGAUUUAUGAAAGAAAAGAUAAAUAAAUAAUUAAGAUCGUAGUGAGAUGAGAGAAACAGAGAAGAUUCCACAGAUCCUAAAUCCAAACUCUUAUUCAUUAGCAUCGAUUCCCUGGAAGCCAAAGAAACAUACAUAUAAGGAUGACGCCACGCAUCGAUGCUUCCUUCCGUCUCUUACUACGUCUCUUGCUACAUAAGAGGUGGAGUAAAAUCCAGCGAGGAGUAACUACUCGGCGUCGGUUCAUUGCUUGUGGGAGAGAGUCAUCUCGCGCAGCUCGGCUGCGUCCACCUGCGCUCGGAGGUUGCUGGGCCUGUAGUACCCCGUCACCGGGUCCGGGACCCAAGAAUUCGACGAAGCAGAGGUGGAGGAGGAGGCGGCGGUGGUCGAGGAGUCUACCACCUUGCGCGCCACCGUUUUCUGCUCCACGGACCUUCUCACACCAGCCGCCGCCGCCGCUGCCGCAGCGUAUCCCCUCCUGGAUGAAUCGAACGGAGCAGGAGUAAGUAAUGGUCCAAUUAUAGAUUAUAGAUUAUAGAUAGAUGAUGAUGAUUGGUAUAUCAGUUACCGGUUAACCAAGAGGGCGAUGUUUUGAGAGACGGACGCAGCGAGAGCAGCAGCACUAGAGAGAGAGCGAGCCAUCUGCCCUCUUCGUUUUAUCACCUUAAUUUCUCUAGCUAGUAGAAAGAAAGAGAAGAGAUGGACGAACAGGAAGAGGUCCUUCUCUUCGUGUUGUUGUGCUCCUCUCUCUCUUUCUCUCUCUCUCCUUCUAUCCUCCCUACCUUGGCCUGUUUGGUUUGGGGAUGAAGUGAGACCGAAUGCCAAGGUGUUUAUUUAUAGCAACAGCUGUGAACCGGAAAUGGCUGUGUAUGUGUUUUGUGUGGGAGGAAACGAAGCCGUGGGGCGGGUUAUCACCCAGUAGUAUCUCUUUGGCUCUUCCGCAUCGCCACGAGCCGCUGUUUCCUUUAAUUAAUUCCCCGAGAGAGAGAGAGAGAGAGAGCUGUGUGGUCCGGAGAAUUCGACCUCCGCCAUCUUGCCUUUGAAAAAUCUUCUGCGCCGCAGCUGCUGACAGGCAGACUCCUCUGCUCAGCUGCUGACAGGCAGUCAGGUGGAUGUCAACUUCUACAAGAUAUUCCAGUGGCUUGUUUAAAUGGAUUCCCUGUCCAACUUUUUGGUUUGGGGAAGAACUCUAGAUACUAUCAAAGUAUCAAUCUAAUUGUGAUCUGAUCACUUGGUAUCGUGCUCCAUCAAUCUAACUGCUAAGAUAUAAAAUGUAGUUUGGUCGGAGACACCUGUCGAGAAAACAGAUCAUGCACUGAUUUCUUCUUGGAUUUGCAGACAAUUCAAGCAGUUGUAGAAAGAGAGAUGAGAUGAGCCGGUUGGAGAGGGGGAUUGAUGGAACCCUAUUUGUUCUACCGUCAACAAGUGGCUGGUGGAUUGAGUGCCAAGAACAUUAUCUUUAGUAUCAAAACAACGAGAGCUUUUAGGCUAGUGGAUUUUGAGUGCCACGAACACCACAUGCAAACAUUAUCCUUAGUAUCAGAACAACGAUAGCUUUUUGAGGAUGAAGAGUAUGGCAUCACUAAUUAUCUUUAUCGAGGUGUCUAAAAGUAAGUUAAUGGUAUCAUUGCGUAAGUGAUAAAUCUCAUGCAUAUUGUUUUCAUCUGACUUCUUUCCCUUUUAGUUUUGCUCUGUUCUGAUAAUAAAACUGUGGCUUUGUCUUAGAUUACGAGGGGAGAAGAAGUAGAUGCUUAAAGAGACAAGCUCCUCAAACAAAGCCAGUCAAACUUAAUUACAUGAGUAAGUCAAUUUGGUAUCUCAAGUAUAGAACACUUUGGGCUUCUCUGCUGGAGUUGGAGUAGGUCGUUUAAUCGAGCUCGUUUCUUUGCUGAUGCCAUUUGCAUUCCCAGACAAUAUCUUCAUUAAAUCAUUCUAAAGGAAAAAAGAAGAAACAAUUAGUAGCAUAGAACCAAUAAAGCUUCGUAUCGCAGAAACCACUCCUACGAAGUCUUAGUGCUUGCCAUUUGUUCAUUUUCGUGUGUAUAUAUACAACGCCAACUUUAAAAGCUUCUGUCUAUUGAUUUUCCUCAAAAUAGAUCUAGAGAUAAUGAGAGAUUAGAUAAAAAGAAAAAGGGUGUAAUAAGGAGAGUUAUGUUUGAGUUUAGGAUAAUUUAAGAAAAUUUAUAAUUUAAUCUCACAUGAUGAAAAUUUUAAUUAUCUCUAUAAAAAAAAUAAAAAGGGUCCAACUACUUAAAUCUUUUAUCCAUCUUUAUAAUUUUUGUUUGAUUUUUGAUCUAUGAAUUUUUGUUUGAUUGAUGGUCUAUGAAUUUUCUUAGUGUAACAGAUUUUACAGACACCAAAAAUUAAAAUUGCUCAAGUUCUCUCCACAUCUUAAAAUUACACCUACGCCUAUUUAAGUUUUACGACUUGUUCAAGUCAAAUAUCUUUGAUGAUGCCAGUUUGAACACUAGUCAUUAUUUUUUCUUAGAGUAUGAUGUGAUUUGUAUGAAUAUUAAUUAUUCUUCAACUAUGACAGAUGAACAUUUUUCAACAUAUUUAUUACUAUAGCAUCCAUUUCGAUUAUUAAGAUAGUAAAUAAUAUAACGCAUAGUUAAACAUGUUAGGAUAAACUAGCAGGGGUGAAUUAGUGUUUUUGUAGAAGUUACGAAUUAGAAAAUCCUCGUUCGAUAAACUCCUAUCAGAAAGAUACUUAAUUUAAAAUCAGUAAGUAAUAAAGGUAAAUAUCAAAAGAAAAGAGUAUACCAAAUUUAUCGUGGUUCGAUCAUCGGCGUCGAUGUCCACUAAUGAUCUUUCUUUAAUGGGUGAAGACCAAUUACCAUUUUACAACUCUUUUCUCCUUUUGGCAAGUUUAGAAAAGAACUUUUACACCCCCUUUUUAUAAAGUUUUCCUCACACUCUCUCUUAGAAUAGUUUUUAAACUUUAGGAGGAGAGACUCAACACUUUACAAGGGUUUACAAAUUUAGAAUCACAGAGUUUUGUUCUACUUUCUUGCUCUCUUAAACAAAAAAUAUUAGGGUAUUUAUAGACCUCAAAUUACUUUAAAAAUUAGGGCCAAAAUUCAAAUCCUCGAGAUUUCGGGGUACUAGCGAUACCAUCGCUUAAGUUGGGCGGUACUACCGCCUGCAGUAUUGACACUAAGUAGUACCACCGCCUAACACUGGGCGAUACCACCACCCAAUCUAGUAGUAUCAUCGUCUAACACAAUCUCGGAGAUUGUGUCUUGGAGACUAAGCCGUUGGCGAUUCCACCACCUAGACCAGUGGUGCCACUACUUGACCCAACUUUUGGGUCACUAAAUAGGUCUUUCUCUUAGCUCAAAAUAGCUCCAUCUUAGGCCUAAUUGAGUUGACCUAAUUAUAUUCAAACCAACUCAAUUAGAACUCUAAACUAAUUCGAUCUAAAUAAAUUAUUACAAAGUAUGAAUCAUAUAUUGUCUGGCAUGUUAUUGGUUCUUUCGACGCUUUGUUUGAUCCUUCGGCGCAUCGUCCUCUCCUUCAACAUAAUGCCCAAUUGGCAUGUUAACUUCCUACAAUAUCCGAUCUCCUUGGUGCAAAGUUUGAUUCUUCCAGCUCGAUGCCCGAACUCACGGCACGAAGUCCUUCUAUCGGUACAUCGAUCAAUCUUCUAACAUGUUCAACUCUAGCCUUACGUCUGAUUCCUCCUAUUUCAAUCAAUUUGCCUCUCCUUGAUUGAAGCUAAUCCUGUGUUAAUCACAAACUCAUCAAUUGAUUUCAUCAUCAAAAUACGAGAUUCAAUAAUUUUUCCUUUUUUUAUGAUGACAAUCAAUUGAUAACAGAGUUUAAACUAAACUCUCCUUACCAAUAUGUCAUAUUGAUAAAAUCUUUAAAUUCAGAAAAUCAUGUAAUGCUUUAAAAAAUAAAAGUACAUCAUACCAUGCAUGAUUCGACAUAUUAUCAUAUCUUUUCUCCCUUUGUCAUCAAUAAAAAGGAGAAGUGCAUCUUAUAAGUUUUUGAGAUAUGCAAGUUUUACAACAUACAAGCAAUAAUUUUGAGUUGUGUAAGUUUAUAAAUUUUACUUCUUGAGAUAUACAAGUUUGCACUUUUGCUUCUCUUGAUAUGUGAAGACAACAAAUUCUUUCUUCUCUUGCAAGCUAUCGAUUUGCUUCUUCUUGAAAUGUGCAAGCUAGCAAAUUAUUUUUUUCUUUUUGCGAUAUGCAAGCUAGCAAGUUCUUGAGAAUGUGAAGUUUAGCGAAAUUUUUCUUCUCUUGAGAUAACAACUUUUUGUUUCUUUUUAUAAUGUGUAUUUUAGCAGGUUUUCUCUCCUUGAAAUGUGCAAGCUAGCAAUACUUUCUCCCCCUUUGUCAUUAUCAAAAGGAAGAAUACAAUGGUACAAAAUUUUUCUUUUUACAUCAAUUUUUAGAUUAUAACAAAUAUUAAU
This 5314-nucleotide long non-coding RNA is filed under the name Musa acuminata (dwarf banana). Its description in RNAcentral is "long non-coding RNA (MACU_LNC003275)". The record is from RNAcentral. Lineage: Eukaryota; Viridiplantae; Streptophyta; Magnoliopsida; Zingiberales; Musaceae.